This 253-nucleotide ribosomal RNA is filed under the name uncultured bacterium. RNAcentral describes it as "partial 16S ribosomal RNA". It matches the Rfam family "Bacterial small subunit ribosomal RNA", at positions 524 to 776 of the family's 1533-position model. The record is from RNAcentral.
GACGAACCGUACGAACGUUAUUCGGAAUCACUGGGCUUAAAGGGUGCGUAGGCGGCGCGACAAGUUGGGUGUGAAAUCCCUCGGCUCAACCGAGGAACUGCGCCCAAAACUGUCGUGCUCGAGGGAGACAGAGGUGAGCGGAACUUAGGGUGGAGCGGUGAAAUGCAUUGAGAUCGGAAAGAACACCAACGGCGAAAGCACUCUGCUGGGUCGGCACUGACACUGAGAGACGAAAGCUAGGGGAGCAAAUGGG